This 951-nucleotide long non-coding RNA is filed under the name Gallus gallus (chicken). Its description in RNAcentral is "long non-coding RNA NONGGAT011996". The record is from RNAcentral. Lineage: Eukaryota; Metazoa; Chordata; Aves; Galliformes; Phasianidae.
CCAGGAGCACCAGUCCUGCUUUAAAAUUCCAUCCUUUCAUGCAGCUGUGCCCUGGUUUGUGUGUCUGUCUACAUGUGCGGCCAGUAACAUCCAAAGGAGAUCCAUCACCUUUAGAGUUUAUUCCCAACUUUUCCUUCCAGCCACUGAUUUCCGACAGCAUAACCCACGGUCUGUCUGCUCCCCUCAGAAAACAACAUCAACGAUGAAGGUGCGUUGGCUGUUUUAGGAGCGAGAAGCAUCCAUCCCACCGCAGGCCUCUCUGUGCGUUAGGCAGCAGCAUCAGUGAUCAAACGUAUGUGGAUGUGUUGCACACAACAGGACUGUGAGCUCGUGCAUUGAAUUCUUCCAGUGAGAGACAUGAUGGUUCAGGUCUCCAGAUGGCUGUGACGUAAAGAAGAAGCAUCCUGCACGGAUUUCUUAAGAACAAACAGUCCCUAUUUGCCUUAAAGAGGAAUGCUCACGACGCUCCAAUUAACGCAAUCAGAGCCGGGCUCCGUGCCGGCACUCCGCCUUCCGCGCAGGAACCACGGGAGGAGGUGCAGCACGGCACAAACCCCAUUCCACACUACGGCCGAGCAGAAUUCACGCGGAGAGGAACCACGACGCGGCAGCUCGCGGCGGGCAGCGCUCCCGCAGCGUCCCGCUCCCGCAGCCAGGAGAGCCGCUUCCCAUAGAGCUGCCCUUAUCGUCCCUCUGGUGACCGCGGUGCCGCCGUACUGGCAACCCGGCGGUACUGCUGCUGGCAUGCAAGGGGAUGUCAGCACGAAUCCGAACUGUGCAAUAAGAGCAGGAGAACUAUCGAGAAUACAGCAUCUCAAGGAAAAACAAAUGAAACACGUACUCGGUCAGUAAUCACACACGGAAGCAACGCGCGCCGCUAAGCACCACGUAUUUAUAACAUCUAUAUGUAACACAUAGAGCACCAUCCGGCUUUAAUAAGGAAAAACAAAU